This is a long non-coding RNA of Leucoraja erinaceus (little skate), 1647 nucleotides long. RefSeq lists it as uncharacterized. Lineage: Eukaryota; Metazoa; Chordata; Chondrichthyes; Rajiformes; Rajidae. The record is from RefSeq and is a predicted model, not a curated record. The transcript has 3 exons.
AUAUUUGUUUGCAAAGACAGCAGUUGUUCAUCAAUGUUACAGCAAUUGCUGAGGCUUGAACUGAGGUAGGAAGCAGGCCAUGUUCCUCUGCACUUAGCAACAUUGUUACCUAUCGAAUGGAGGCAGAGAAGCUAAAACCUAUUUCAUUUGUGCUUAUGGGAGAUGAUUUAACCUAGAACAAAACGGUUUGAAGUUACUACUAUUGAGUAUAAUAGGUUGUUCUAAAUUAUCACCAUAUUCUGGUGGACAAAAAAAGCUAGAGAAACUCAGCAGGUGAGGCAGAAUCUAUCGACCGAAGGAAAUAGGCGACUUUUCGGGUCGAGACCCUCCUUCAGACCAACCCACCAUAUUCUGGCCCACUGAUAGCCUUUUUUUUAAACAUGCAUCAAUAACUUUCCAACGUUAUAAAUAUCUGAACAGUGAAUACAUUUUUUGAGCUACAGAAGAAUUCUUCGUGUGGGAACAACUAUAUUUAUAUCUGAUGUUUGCACCAUAAUUGAUGAAUGAAUCGACCCCAGAGUUUUUGACAGAGAGGCUUUCAUUAUAUUGCAAUUGGUCUUAUACUAACCACUGAGUUUAGACAUAAAGCAUUAGUUAAGCAUGGAGCUAAUUGGUAGAGCUUAACAGCAAAGCAGUAAAAACAUGUUUGCUAAUAGUUUGUCUCUUAAAAACAGUGACAGCUAGGCUGCUUUAUUUGAAGCUGCUAGAUUUCACUGACUGUAGAUUAAUGCAACAUCUUACAGCUGUGCAACAUUCACAGUGCAGUUAUAAGAUAAUUGAACUAAAUGUAUCAAUGUUAUUUGGUCAAUUGCCCAGUCCCAUGAAAGUACGGUCUUGAAAUUUCAAGACCCUGGAGCAACAAGAGCGGUGAAGUCUGACUCUUUACAAGAUAGAGCUAAGUGCAGGAAUGCCGAGAAUGCUUCAUUCUGACCUGCCGAAGCAGGUUCUGCUGGGAUUGGGUCUGCUGUGACAUUGCUAACACUCACCAGAGCUGAAGUUCCUGAGCAAGAAUGGCAUCGCCCACCCUGAGAGUAAGAAGACUGGGAUAGAGUGGAUGUGAAAAGGAUGUUUCCACUGAUGGGAGAGUCUAGGACCAGAGGUCGUAGCCUCAGAAUUAAAGGGAGCUCUUUUAGAAAGGAGAUUUCUUCGUUGUAAGGUAAUCGAGUUAACUUGCACCACACAAUGACAGCUUGGCUGCUGUCGAAAUUAUAAAGAGAGCAGACCCAAGCGGAAGACCGCCCCCUCUAUCUACGACACGGAAGUCACUCCGCACCAAACACAAUGCACCCGGAAAAGCGGACAACACAAUCCCGUCCAGGCAUAUAUUUCUUACUCAAUGAAGAAUUAUCGCAGUUUCCUCUUCAAGUUAAACUUGUAGCCGUAAAAUGUGACCCGGGCAACUUUCCAGGAGCCUCUGUUUAUUCUUCCCAGAUAUUUGUGAAUGUAAUUUGCGUGAUAUUUGCAGAUCAUGAGACUUUGUCUUGCUCUGACCUUUGCGUCAUCCCAAUUAAAGAACAUCCCCGCCCUCAGUUCUGAAACUAUUCAAAGAAAUAGAAGUAAUGUUAAGACCUAUUUUUGUUACAAAAAGAGUAAUCGUUGAAAAAAAAUGUGUGAGAUCAUCCAUUAAAAAUACCAACGCUUAAAUUA